GACGAACGCUGGCGGCGUGCUUAACACAUGCAAGUCGAACGGAAAGGCCCUGCUUUUGUGGGGUUCUCGAUUGGCGAACGGGUGAGUAACACGUUUGUAACCUGCCCUUUACUUUGUGUUAACUUCUGGAAACUUGUUCUAAUACCCGAUAGGAUCUCCUGCUGCAUGGUUUGGGUUUGUAAGUUUCGGCGGUUGGGGAUGGAUUCGCUGCUUAUCAGCUUGUUGGUUGGGUAGUGGCUUACCAAGGCUUUGACGGGUAGCCGGCCUGUGAGGGUGACCGGGCAGAAUGGGACUGAGAUAAGGAACAGAAGGCAACGGGAGGCAGCAGAGGGGAAUAUUGCAGAAUGGGAGGAAGCAGGAUGCAGAAACGCCGCGUGCGGGAUGAAGGCCGUCGGGUUGUAAACAGAUUGGGAAUGUGACGAAGAGUGAGUGACGGUAAUGGGUAAAGAAGCAACGGCUAACUACGUG
This 468-nucleotide ribosomal RNA is filed under the name uncultured bacterium. RNAcentral describes it as "partial 16S ribosomal RNA". It matches the Rfam family "Bacterial small subunit ribosomal RNA", at positions 28 to 507 of the family's 1533-position model. The record is from RNAcentral.